Molecule: ribosomal RNA, 442 nt
Filed under: uncultured bacterium
Lineage: Bacteria
Description: SSU rRNA
Rfam family: Bacterial small subunit ribosomal RNA
Source: RNAcentral
UCAUGGGCGAGAGCCUGAACCAGCCAAGUAGCGUGAAGGAUGACUGCCCUAUGGGUUGUAAACUUCUUUUAUAAAGGAAUAAAGUCGGGUAUGGAUACCCGUUUGCAUGUACUUUAUGAAUAAGGAUCGGCUAACUCCGUGCCAGCAGCCGCGGUAAUACGGAGGAUCCGAGCGUUAUCCGGAUUUAUUGGGUUUAAAGGGAGCGUAGAUGGAUGUUUAAGUCAGUUGUGAAAGUUUGCGGCUCAACCGUAAAAUUGCAGUUGAUACUGGAUAUCUUGAGUGCAGUUGAGGCAGGCGGAAUUCGUGGUGUAGCGGUGAAAUGCUUAGAUAUCACGAAGAACUCCGAUUGCGAAGGCAGCCUGCUAAGCUGCAACUGACAUUGAGGCUCGAAAGUGUGGGUAUCAAACAGGAUUAGAUACCCUGGUAGUCCAAGGGCGAAUUC